This 440-nucleotide ribosomal RNA is filed under the name uncultured bacterium. RNAcentral's name for it is "partial 16S ribosomal RNA". It matches the Rfam family "Bacterial small subunit ribosomal RNA", at positions 338 to 795 of the family's 1533-position model. The record is from RNAcentral.
CCUACGGGGCGCAGCAGUGGGGAAUAUUGCACAAUGGGGGAAACCCUGAUGCAGCGACGCCGCGUGAGUGAAGAAGUAUUUCGGUACGUAAAGCUCUAUCAGCAGGGAAGAAAAUGACGGUACCUGACUAAGAAUCCCCGGCUAACUACGUGCCAGCAGCCGCGGUAAUACGGAGGGGGCAAUCGUUAUCCGGAUUUACUGGGUGUAAAGGGAGCGUAGACGGCAGCGCAAGUCUGGAGUGAAAUCCCAUGGCUUAACCAUGGAACUGCGUUGGAAACUGUGCAGCUAGAGUGCAGGAGAGGUAAGCGGAAUUCCUAGUGUAGCGGUGAAAUGCGUAGAUAUUAGGAGGAACACCAGUGGCGAAGGCGGCUUACUGGACUGUAACUGACGUUGAGGCUCGAAAGCGUGGGGAGCAAACAGGAUUAGAUACCCGAGUAGUC